RNAcentral lists this transfer-messenger RNA (368 nucleotides) under Eggerthellaceae. RNAcentral describes it as "UMGS1519 sp900552585 Standard tmRNA". It matches the Rfam family "transfer-messenger RNA". From Rfam's summary of the family: Bacterial tmRNA, also known as 10Sa RNA or SsrA, is named for its dual tRNA and mRNA-like properties. Its role is to liberate the mRNA from a stalled ribosome. The record is from RNAcentral. RNAcentral also lists the same sequence under 1 other name. Lineage: Bacteria; Bacillati; Actinomycetota; Coriobacteriia; Eggerthellales.
GGGGGCGACUGGUUUCGACAUGGUAGGUUCAAACCAAGGAGCAGGUCGUGGUCUCCUCACCACGUUAAACAGGGGUGCCGUCAAAUUUAAUUGACAAGAAAUACACUUCUGAGCCUCUGGCUCUUGCUGCUUAAUUAUUUGAAGCAGCUCGUCAAUGCGGGGCAUUCUCCCGGCCGCGCUGCGACGUCAUUUUAGGGAGAUGCUUCCGGGCACGUAGUCGGUAUGGUCCGGAUUAAGCUUGAACCGGCUGGAUGCGUUUCCGCGGGCCGCUGUGCCUUCGCGCAUCAAGAUCAGAACAGCGGACAAGCCUGUAGCGUCUUGGCGGGAAUCUAGUAUGGACCGGAGUUCGAUUCUCCGCGCCUCCACCA